RNAcentral lists this ribosomal RNA (435 nucleotides) under uncultured bacterium. RNAcentral describes it as "partial 16S ribosomal RNA". It matches the Rfam family "Bacterial small subunit ribosomal RNA", at positions 28 to 507 of the family's 1533-position model. The record is from RNAcentral.
GAUGAACGCUGGCGGUAUGCUUAACACAUGCAAGUCGAACGGACUCUUCGGAGUUAGUGGCGGACGGGUGAGUAACGCGUGAGAAUCUGGCUUUGGGUUCGGGACAACCACUGGAAACGGUGGCUAAUACCGGAUGUGCCGAGAGGUAAAAGAGAAAUUGCCUGAAGAUGAGCUCGCGUCUGAUUAGCUAGUUGGUGAGGUAAAGGCUCACCAAGGCAGCGAUCAGUAGCUGGUCUGAGAGGAUGACCAGCCACACUGGGACUGAGACACGGCCCAGACUCCUACGGGAGGCAGCAGUGGGGAAUUGUCCGCAAUGGGCGAAAGCCUGACGGAGCAAUACCGCGUGAGGGAAGAAGGCUCUUGGGUUGUAAACCUCUUUUCUUAGGGAAGAACAAAAUGACGGUACCUAAGGAAUCAGCAUCGGCCAACUCCGUG